Schistosoma rodhaini is the source of this 46-nucleotide non-coding RNA. The record is from Rfam. Lineage: Eukaryota; Metazoa; Platyhelminthes; Trematoda; Strigeidida; Schistosomatidae.
GCACUGCUGAGGAGUUCCACAAUAGGACGAAACGGCCGUCAUGUGC